Molecule: ribosomal RNA, 320 nt
Filed under: uncultured bacterium
Lineage: Bacteria
Description: bacterial SSU rRNA
Rfam family: Bacterial small subunit ribosomal RNA
Source: RNAcentral
GAUUAACGCUAGCGGCAGGCCUAAUACAUGCAAGUCGAACGGGAUUCAGGGUAGCAAUAUCUUGAUGAGAGUGGCGCACGGGUGCAUAACACGUAUGCAAUUUACCUUUAACUGGGGAAUAGCCUUCCGAAAGGAAGAUUAAUACCGCAUAACAUUUCUGAAGGACAUCCUUCGGUAAUCAAAACUACGGUGGUUAAAGAUAAGCAUGCGUCCGAUUAGCUAGUUGGUGAGGAACGGCUCACCAAGGCAACGAUCGGUAGGGGGUCUGAGAGGAUGAUCCCCCACACUGGUACUGAGACACGGACCAGACUCCUACGGGA